RNAcentral lists this ribosomal RNA (254 nucleotides) under uncultured bacterium. RNAcentral describes it as "partial 16S ribosomal RNA". It matches the Rfam family "Bacterial small subunit ribosomal RNA", at positions 524 to 776 of the family's 1533-position model. The record is from RNAcentral.
UACGUAGGGUGCGAGCGUUGUCCGGAAUUAUUGGGCGUAAAGAGCUCAUAGGCGGUGUGUCACGUCGGCCGUGAAAACCUGCAGCUUAACUGUGGGCGUGCGGUCGAUACGGGCAUCACUGGAGUUCGGCAGGGGAGACUGGAAUUCCUGGUGUAGCGGUGAAAUGCGCAGAUAUCAGGAGGAACACCGGUGGCGAAGGCGGGUCUCUGGGCCGAUACUGACGCUGAGGAGCGAAAGCGUGGGGAGCGAACAGG